Molecule: non-coding RNA, 317 nt
Organism: Paramuricea clavata
Lineage: Eukaryota; Metazoa; Cnidaria; Anthozoa; Malacalcyonacea; Plexauridae
Source: the annotation of a GenBank genome assembly
GUGUGACAGGGCCUUAACCCAGGGGUUUUGCAAUCAAAGUGAUGCAACCUGGAUAGUCGAAUGUAGUUAACUAGGCACAAUAUUUUGCCACUUAAUAGUUAACAGUUAUGCAUAAAUAACAACAGUCUUAUCACCGCCUUAUGGAGACUUUAUAUUAAUUGUGCUACUCUAGCUAGGAUCUAAAAGACCCAUAGGUCCCAUACUCGACGUAUUCAACUAGCAACAGAAUAGUUAGUUAAAUUAAUUCAUUAUAUAGAAUCAAUGUUAAAGGUAAGCUGGCUUACAGGCUAUAAUUAUUUGUAUGGUUUAUAGAAGCC